CUAUGCUAAGUGGGGAGGUAGCGGUGCCCUGUAUCUGCAAUCCGCUAUAGCAGAACUGAAUCCCCAGCAUGCGGCCUAUCUUUGUGGGGUCUGUCCCAUGCACGUGGCGUUGAUAGUUGGGUCUUGAGCAACGAAAGCUUAUUGAACCCCGUCAGAUCCGGAAGGAAGCAGCGGUAAAUAGGUCUUUUCGUGUGACGCAAGGUAGCCUAACUUGAGCAAACGACAUGGGCAACGCUCGGAAAGGUUUGUCAACUCUGGGUGCAUAG
This 266-nucleotide signal recognition particle RNA is filed under the name Candidatus Poribacteria bacterium. Its description in RNAcentral is "Poribacteria bacterium Bacterial large signal recognition particle RNA". It matches the Rfam family "Bacterial large signal recognition particle RNA". Rfam says of the family: The signal recognition particle (SRP) is a universally conserved ribonucleoprotein involved in the co-translational targeting of proteins to membranes. The record is from Rfam by way of RNAcentral. Lineage: Bacteria; Candidatus Poribacteria.